GUGGUGGUGGAGGUGUUAGCUUACGACUUUGGGUGAGGAGAUGAAGAUGGUGUAUAGUUUGAUGGUUCAAGGAGAGGUGAGACCAACUUAAGGAGAAAAGCGACUAGACGGGCCUCUAGGGUUGCUCUAGUCUUGAUCUUGGAAGCGUAUGGCCUAAAUUUGGCAGCAUACCAUUACAUUAAUCCAAGAUGAAAUACAAGGGGGAGACAUCUCUAUUUAUAGACCAAGGGUGUCUCUUUCUAACCUU
RNAcentral lists this long non-coding RNA (247 nucleotides) under Vigna radiata. RNAcentral's name for it is "long non-coding RNA (VRAD_LNC002715)". Lineage: Eukaryota; Viridiplantae; Streptophyta; Magnoliopsida; Fabales; Fabaceae. The record is from RNAcentral.